RNAcentral lists this ribosomal RNA (1346 nucleotides) under uncultured bacterium. RNAcentral describes it as "bacterial SSU rRNA". It matches the Rfam family "Bacterial small subunit ribosomal RNA", at positions 28 to 1381 of the family's 1533-position model. The record is from RNAcentral.
GACGAACGCUGGCGGCGUGCUUAACACAUGCAAGUCGAACGGAAAGGCCCUGCUUUUGUGGGGUGCUCGAGUGGCGAACGGGUGAGUAACACGUGAGUAACCUGCCCUUGACUUUGGGAUAACUUCAGGAAACUGGGGCUAAUACCGGAUAGGAGCUCCUGCUGCGUGGUGGGGGUUGGAAAGUUUCGGCGGUUGGGGAUGGACUCGCGGCUUAUCAGCUUGUUGGUGGGGUAGUGGCUUACCAAGGCUUUGACGGGUAGCCGGCCUGAGAGGGUGACCGGCCACAUUGGGACUGAGAUACGGCCCAGACUCCUACGGGAGGCAGCAGUGGGGAAUAAUGCACAAUGGGCGGAAGCCUGAUGCAGCAACGCCGCGUGCGGGAUGACGGCCUUCGGGUUGUAAACCGCUUUCGCCUGUGACGAAGCGUGAGUGACGGUAAUGGGUAAAGAAGCACCGGCUAACUACGUGCCAGCAGCCGCGGUGAUACGUAGGGUGCGAGCGUUGUCCGGAUUUAUUGGGCGUAAAGGGCUCGUAGGUGGUUGAUCGCGUCGGAAGUGUAAUCUUGGGGCUUAACCCUGAGCGUGCUUUCGAUACGGGUUGACUUGAGGAAGGUAGGGGAGAAUGGAAUUCCUGGUGGAGCGGUGGAAUGCGCAGAUAUCAGGAGGAACACCAGUGGCGAAGGCGGUUCUCUGGGCCUUUCCUGACGCUGAGGAGCGAAAGCGUGGGGAGCGAACAGGCUUAGAUACCCUGGUAGUCCACGCUGUAAACGGUGGGUACUAGGUGUGGGGUCCAUUCCACGGGUUCCGUGCCGUAGCUAACGCUUUAAGUACCCCGCCUGGGGAGUACGGCCGCAAGGCUAAAACUCAAAGGAAUUGACGGGGCCCCGCACAAGCGGCGGAGCAUGCGGAUUAAUUCGAUGCAACGCGUAGAACCUUACCUGGGUUUGACAUGGAUCGGGAGCGCUCAGAGAUGGGUGUGCCUCUUUUGGGGUCGGUUCACAGGUGGUGCAUGGCUGUCGUCAGCUCGUGUCGUGAGAUGUUGGGUUAAGUCCCGCAACGAGCGCAACCCUUGUUCACUGUUGCCAGCACGUUAUGGUGGGGACUCAGUGGAGACCGCCGGGGUCAACUCGGAGGAAGGUGGGGAUGACGUCAAGUCAUCAUGCCCCUUAUGUCCAGGGCUUCACGCAUGCUACAAUGGCUGGUACAGAGAGUGGCGAGCCUGUGAGGGUGAGCGAAUCUCGGAAAGCCGGUCUCAGUUCGGAUUGGGGUCUGCAACUCGACCUCAUGAAGUCGGAGUCGCUAGUAAUCGCAGAUCAGCAACGCUGCGGUGAAUACGUUCCCGGGGCU